Long non-coding RNA from Rhagoletis pomonella (apple maggot), 191 nucleotides. RefSeq lists it as uncharacterized. NCBI's taxonomy places the organism in Eukaryota, Metazoa, Arthropoda, Insecta, Diptera, Tephritidae. The transcript is spliced from 3 exons. The record is from RefSeq and is a predicted model, not a curated record.
GUGGAAUAAGUGAAUUAGUAAAAAGAAAAAUGGACAGAUUUGUUGUACGAAAAGACGUCCCGACAGGUGCAAAUACAGAGACGGACAGUGGCAGUGAGAGCAGCUCGAGCGACGAGCGGAAGCCUGAGACCAGGAGAAAGUUUCGGACGGAGUGGCUGGCCCCAUUUUCUUGGCUUAGGAACAUAAAUGGC